This 253-nucleotide ribosomal RNA is filed under the name uncultured bacterium. Its description in RNAcentral is "partial 16S ribosomal RNA". It matches the Rfam family "Bacterial small subunit ribosomal RNA", at positions 524 to 776 of the family's 1533-position model. The record is from RNAcentral.
UACGAAGGGGGCUAGCGUUGCUCGGAAUCACUGGGCGUAAAGCGCACGUAGGCGGAUUGUUAAGUCAGGGGUGAAAUCCUGGAGCUCAACUCCAGAACUGCCUUCGAUACUGAGAGUCUCGAGUCCGAGAGAGGUGAGUGGAACUGCGAGUGUAGAGGUGAAAUUCGUAGAUAUUCGCAAGAACACCAGUGGCGAAGGCGGCUCACUGGCUCGGUACUGACGCUGAGGUGCGAAAGCGUGGGGAGCAAACAGG